RNAcentral lists this ribosomal RNA (1344 nucleotides) under Triticum aestivum (bread wheat). RNAcentral's name for it is "partial small subunit ribosomal RNA". Lineage: Eukaryota; Viridiplantae; Streptophyta; Magnoliopsida; Poales; Poaceae. The record is from RNAcentral.
AUGCAUCCAAGCAAGAGUUCUCCAGCAAGUAAGAAGGCUGACGCCGAGGAGGACAUCACCGUCGACCUAUAUCCAUUUAUACGUGAAUACAACGGCGGCCAUGUCGAACGCUUACUUCGCAGUCCAUUCGUGGCAGCGUCCGAGGACGCGGCUGCCAACCGUGGAGUUGCGACAAGGGACGCCGUCAUCGACGAGAAGACGGGCGUGUCCGCACGCCUGUUCCUUCCCUCCCUUGCCGCAGCCGCCGGCGAGCUGCUCCCCGUCAUCAUGUACGUCCACGGCGGAUCUUUCUGCACGGAGAGUGCGUUCUGCCGCACGUACCACAACUACGCCAGGUCCCUGGCCGCGCGCGCCGGGGCCCUCGUCGUGUCCGUGGAGUACCGUCUAGCGCCGGAGCAUACCGUGCCCAUGGCCUAUGAUGACGCCUGGGCGGCACUUCAGUGGGUGGCGUCCCUCUCUGACCCCUGGCUCUCCUACCACGCUGAUCCCGGGCGCAUGUUUCUCGCCGGCGAUAGCGCUGGCGGCAACAUCGUCUACAACACGGCGGUGCGUGCGGCCACCGGUGGUGGCACUGGCAACCACAUCGACGUUGAGGGUCUUGUCAUCGUGCAACCAUACUUUUGGGGAGACGAUCGGCUGUCCAGCUCCGAGGAAGUCUGGGACGGCGUCGCCAUGUUUGCUACUGAGGUCAUCGACAGGCUCUGGCCGUUCGUUACGGCAGGUCGGCUCGGCAAUGACGAUUGCCGGGUCAACCCUGCCGACGAGGAGAUCGCCUCCCUGACAUGCCGGCGUGUGCUGGUCGCCGUUGCCGAGAAGGACACCUUGCGUGACCGCGGGCGCCGGCUGGCGUCCCGCAUAUAUGACUGCUGCUCAUGGGCCGAUGAUGAAAAUGUGGUGACAUUGGUGGAGUCGGAGGGCGAAGACCAUGGCUUCCACCUGUACAACCCACUGCGUGGGACCAGCAAGACUCUCAUGGACACCAUAGUGCAGUUCAUAAACCAACGCACGGCCUUGCCACUGCCGGCCGCUUUGCUGCCAGAGCUUCACGAGCUGCAUUCACGCCCCCGAGGUAAGAAGAAGACAUCAUUUGCUGUCCAGCCUGUUGAAUGCGUGCCUACUAGGCCGUAUAUGGGGGUGUUUGGGUGUGGGAUGGCCAUGAAAAUCUUGUUGAGUGGCCCUAAUGAUAUGACACGUAGUAGUUGCUUAAGCAUUGGACAGGGAAGAAGGGCCUCCAAGACUAGAUAUGGGUUAUUUUUGGGCCAUCUUAGCAAGUCUAACAAGACCAACAGGAUCUCAUUAUCAGCAACAGCUCCGGAGAGUUGUGUUUUCCACAACUUCAUCUAG